CACGUAGGCACCAAACGUUGUCCGGAUUUAUUGGGCGUAAAGAGCUCGUAGGCGGUUCAGUAAGUCGGGUGUGAAAACUCAGGGCUCAACCCUGAGCGGCCACCCGAUACUGCUGUGACUUGAGUCUGGUAGGGGAGUGGGGAAUUCCUGGUGUAGCGGUGAAAUGCGCAGAUAUCAGGAGGAACACCGGUGGCGAAGGCGCCACUCUGGGCCACGACUGACGCUGAGGAGCGAAAGCAUGGGUAGCAAACAGG
This 254-nucleotide ribosomal RNA is filed under the name uncultured bacterium. RNAcentral describes it as "partial 16S ribosomal RNA". It matches the Rfam family "Bacterial small subunit ribosomal RNA", at positions 524 to 776 of the family's 1533-position model. The record is from RNAcentral.